RNAcentral lists this ribosomal RNA (563 nucleotides) under Chaetasbolisia sp. RNAcentral's name for it is "partial large subunit ribosomal RNA". It matches the Rfam family "Eukaryotic large subunit ribosomal RNA", at positions 76 to 658 of the family's 3401-position model. The record is from RNAcentral. Lineage: Eukaryota; Fungi; Ascomycota; Dothideomycetes; Pleosporales; Didymellaceae.
UGCCCUAGUAACGGCGAGUGAAGCGGCAAGAGCUCAGAUUUGAAAUCUGGCGCCUUUGGCGUCCGAGUUGUAAUCUGUAGAGGAUGCUAUUGGGUAGCCACCGGUCUAAGUCCCCUGGAACGGGGCGUCGCAGAGGGUGAGAAUCCCGUAUGUGACCGGAAGGGCGCCCUCCACAUAGCUCCUUCGACGAGUCGAGUUGUUUGGGAAUGCAGCUCUAAAUGGGAGGUAAAUUCCUUCUAAAGCUAAAUACCGGCCAGAGACCGAUAGCGCACAAGUAGAGUGAUCGAAAGAUGAAAAGCACUUUGGAAAGAGAGUUAAAAAGCACGUGAAAUUGUUGAAAGGGAAGCGCUUGCAACCAGACUUGUUGGCGGUGUUCCGCCGGUCUUCUGACCGGUGUACUCACCGUCUGCAGGCCAGCAUCAUCUGGGGCCGCCGGAUAAAAGCGGGGGGAAUGUGGCUCCCUCGGGAGUGUUAUAGCCCCUCGUGCAAUACGGCGUGCCUCGGGUGAGGUCCGCGCUUCGGCUAGGAUGCUGGCGUAAUGGUCGUAAGCGGCCCGUCUUGAA